CAAUAGCGUAUAUUAAAGUUGUUGCAGUUAAAAAGCUCGUAGUUGGAUCUGUGGUUCGUCCCGCCGACUGGGUCAUUGACUUUUGCUGUGCUGGUCGUCCAUCCUUGGGUGGAAUCUGUGUGGCAUUAGGUUGUCGCGCAGGGGAUGCCCAUCGUUUACUGUGAAAAAAUUAGAGUGUUCAAAGCAGGCUUAUGCCGUUGAAUAUAUUAGCAUGGAAUAAUGAUAUAGGACCUUGGUACUAUUUUGUUGGUUUGCGCACUGAGGUAAUGAUUAAUAGGGACAGUUGGGGGUAUUCGUAUUCCAUUGUAAGAGGUGAAAUUCUUGGAUUUUUGGAAGACGAACUACUGCGAAAGCAUUUACCAAGGAUGUUUUCAUUAA
Molecule: ribosomal RNA, 378 nt
Filed under: uncultured eukaryote
Lineage: Eukaryota
Description: partial 18S ribosomal RNA
Rfam family: Eukaryotic small subunit ribosomal RNA
Source: RNAcentral